Dreissena polymorpha is the source of this 378-nucleotide long non-coding RNA. RefSeq lists it as uncharacterized. The record is from RefSeq and is a predicted model, not a curated record. The transcript has 2 exons. Lineage: Eukaryota; Metazoa; Mollusca; Bivalvia; Myida; Dreissenidae.
GAGUAUAAUGCUGAAAGUACUGUUGUCAGCAUUGGAUAUAUUUUCCCGGAUUUACAACGGAAUCGAUCGAGAUGUAGAAUAUCUUCAUAAGUUCAUUGAGAAGAUGGUAUUCCACAUCAGUAUAGAACAGAUAUGUCAUGAAGUAAAUAAAGAGGAUUCAUUAACUACUUACGCAGAUGCAUCCUGGGUGAAAGAAGUUAUGACUUACUUGGGCAACUGAUUAUUCAACUGUAUAUGUAAUAACUUAUGUUUUGUAUAUACUGGUAGUGACUGUUAUCAUUAUUAGAUUUCAUACCCAUUUACAAUACUUUGUAACUUCAAUUGUGUUAAUUCAUAGGCAUCUGAACAGUACCAAAAUACAAACAAAAACAAUAUUUU